GCAAGUCGAACGGUAGAGGGGGCAACCCCUUGAGAGUGGCGAACGGGUGAGUAAUAUAUCGGAACGUGCCCAGUCGUGGGGGAUAACGUAGUGAAAAUUACGCUAAUACCGCAUACGAUCUAAGGAUGAAAGCGGGGGAUCGCAAGACCUCGCGCGACUGGAGCGGCCGAUAUCAGAUUAGGUAGUUGGUAGGGUAAAGGCCUACCAAGCCAACGAUCUGUAGCUGGUCUGAGAGGACGACCAGCCACACUGGAACUGAGACACGGUCCAGACUCCUACGGGAGGCAGCAGUGGGGAAUUUUGGACAAUGGGCGAAAGCCUGAUCCAGCCAUUCCGCGUGCAGGAUGAAGGCCCUCGGGUUGUAAACUGCUUUUGUACAGAACGAAAAAGUUUCUAUUAAUACUAGGAGCUCAUGACGGUACUGUAAGAAUAAGCACCGGCUAACUACGUGCCAGCAGCCGCGGUAAUACGUAGGGUGCAAGCGUUAAUCGGAAUUACUGGGCGUAAAGCGUGCGCAGGCGGUUAUAUAAGUCAGAUGUGAAAUCCCCGGGCUCAACCUGGGAACUGCAUUUGAGACUGUAUAGCUAGAGUACGGUAGAGGGGGAUGGAAUUCCGCGUGUAGCAGUGAAAUGCGUAGAUAUGCGGAGGAACACCGAUGGCGAAGGCAAUCCCCUGGACCUGUACUGACGCUCAUGCACGAAAGCGUGGGGAGCAAACAGGAUUAGAUACCCUGGUAGUCCACGCCCUAAACGAUGUCAACUGGUUGUUGGGUCUUAACUGACUCAGUAACGAAGCUAACGCGUGAAGUUGACCGCCUGGGGAGUACAGCCGCAAGGUUGAAGCUCAAAGGAAUUGACGGGGACCCCACAAGCGGUGGAUGAUGUGAUUUAAUUCGAUGCAACGCGCAAAACCUUACCCACCUUUGACAUGUAC
This 933-nucleotide ribosomal RNA is filed under the name uncultured Burkholderiales bacterium. RNAcentral's name for it is "bacterial SSU rRNA". It matches the Rfam family "Bacterial small subunit ribosomal RNA", at positions 57 to 991 of the family's 1533-position model. The record is from RNAcentral. Lineage: Bacteria; Pseudomonadati; Pseudomonadota; Betaproteobacteria; Burkholderiales.